This 232-nucleotide long non-coding RNA is filed under the name Hordeum vulgare. Its description in RNAcentral is "long non-coding RNA (HVUL_LNC012263)". The record is from RNAcentral. Lineage: Eukaryota; Viridiplantae; Streptophyta; Magnoliopsida; Poales; Poaceae.
AAAAGGUUCAUGAAACUUGAAAAAGGUUCAUCCAAAUUGAAAAAUAGUUCAUUGAAUUACAAAAAGUUCACCAAAUUCGGAAAAAGUUCACGAAUUAAAAAUAGCUCAUCGAUAUAAAAAAUAGCAAAAGGAAAAAAGUGUGCGCAUUUAUCAAUUAUCAAAAAGUGUAAGAAUAAUUAGAGAAAAAAAAAUGAACAAAAUCAUUCAAGAAAACAAUAAGUUAAUCAACGAG